CACUAUCGUUAACUGAAUACAUAGGUUAACGAGGCGAACCGGGGGAACUGAAACAUCUAAGUACCCCGAGGAAAAGAAAUCAACCGAGAUUCCCCCAGUAGCGGCGAGCGAACGGGGAGCAGCCCAGAGUCUGAAUCAGCUUGUGUGUUAGUGGAACGGUCUGGAAAGUCCGACGGUACAGGGUGAUAGUCCCGUACACCAAAAUGCACAGGUUGUGAACUCGAAGAGUAGGGCGGGACACGUGGUAUCCUGUCUGAAUAUGGGGGGACCAUCCUCCAAGGCUAAAUACUCCUGACUGACCGAUAGUGAACCAGUACCGUGAGGGAAAGGCGAAAAGAACCCCGGCGAGGGGAGUGAAAAAGAACCUGAAACCGUGUACGUACAAGCAGUGGGAGCACCUUCGGGUGUGACUGCGUACCUUUUGUAUAAUGGGUCAGCGACUUAUAUUCUGUAGCAAGGUUAACCGUAUAGGGGAGCCGCAGGGAAACCGAGUCUUAACUGGGCGUUAAGUUGCAGGGUAUAGACCCGAAACCCGGUGAUCUAGCCAUGGGCAGGUUGAAGGUUGGGUAACACUAACUGGAGGACCGAACCGACUAAUGUUGAAAAAUUAGCGGAUGACUUGUGGCUGGGGGUGAAAGGCCAAUCAAACCGGGAGAUAGCUGGUUCUCCCCGAAAGCUAUUUAGGUAGCGCCUCGUGAAUUCAUCUUCGGGGGUAGAGCACUGUUUCGGCUAGGGGGUCAUCCCGACUUACCAACCCGAUGCAAACUACGAAUACCGAAGAAUGUUAUCACGGGAGACACACGGCGGGUGCUAACGUCCGUCGUGAAGAGGGAAACAACCCAGACCGCCAGCUAAGGUCCCAAAGUCAUGGUUAAGUGGGAAACGAUGUGGGAAGGCACAGACAGCCAGGAUGUUGGCUUAGAAGCAGCCAUCAUUUAAAGAAAGCGUAAUAGCUCACUGGUCGAGUCGGCCUGCGCGGAAGAUGUAACGGGGCUAAACCAUGCACCGAAGCUGCGGCAGCGACACUAUGUGUUGUUGGGUAGGGGAGCGUUCUGUAAGCCUGCGAAGGUGUGCUGUGAGGCAUGCUGGAGGUAUCAGAAGUGCGAAUGCUGACAUAAGUAACGAUAAAGCGGGUGAAAAGCCCGCUCGCCGGAAGACCAAGGGUUCCUGUCCAACGUUAAUCGGGGCAGGGUGAGUCGACCCCUAAGGCGAGGCCGAAAGGCGUAGUCGAUGGGAAACAGGUUAAUAUUCCUGUACUUGGUGUUACUGCGAAGGGGGGACGGAGAAGGCUAUGUUAGCCGGGCGACGGUUGUCCCGGUUUAAGCAUGUAGGCUGGUUAUCCAGGCAAAUCCGGAUAAUCAAGGCUGAGGUGUGAUGACGAGGCACUACGGUGCUGAAGUAACAAAUGCCCUGCUUCCAGGAAAAGCCUCUAAGCAUCAGGUAACAUUAAAUCGUACCCCAAACCGACACAGGUGGUCAGGUAGAGAAUACCAAGGCGCUUGAGAGAACUCGGGUGAAGGAACUAGGCAAAAUGGUGCCGUAACUUCGGGAGAAGGCACGCUGGUGUGUAGGUGAAGUCCCUGCGGAUGGAGCUGAGACCAGUCGAAGAUACCAGCUGGCUGCAACUGUUUAUUAAAAACACAGCACUGUGCAAACACGAAAGUGGACGUAUACGGUGUGACGCCUGCCCGGUGCCGGAAGGUUAAUUGAUGGGGUUAUCCGUAAGGAGAAGCUCUUGAUCGAAGCCCCGGUAAACGGCGGCCGUAACUAUAACGGUCCUAAGGUAGCGAAAUUCCUUGUCGGGUAAGUUCCGACCUGCACGAAUGGCGUAAUGAUGGCCAGGCUGUCUCCACCCGAGACUCAGUGAAAUUGAACUCGCUGUGAAGAUGCAGUGUACCCGCGGCAAGACGGAAAGACCCCGUGAACCUUUACUAUAGCUUGACACUGAACAUUGAGCCUUGAUGUGUAGGAUAGGUGGGAGGCUUUGAAGCGUGGACGCCAGUCUGCGUGGAGCCAACCUUGAAAUACCACCCUUUAAUGUUUGAUGUUCUAACGUUGGCCCCUUACCGGGGUUGCGGACAGUGUCUGGUGGGUAGUUUGACUGGGGCGGUCUCCUCCCAAAGCGUAACGGAGGAGCACGAAGGUUAGCUAAUCCUGGUCGGACAUCAGGAGGUUAGUGCAAUGGCAUAAGCUAGCUUGACUGCGAGCGUGACGGCGCGAGCAGGUGCGAAAGCAGGUCAUAGUGAUCCGGUGGUUCUGAAUGGAAGGGCCAUCGCUCAACGGAUAAAAGGUACUCCGGGGAUAACAGGCUGAUACCGCCCAAGAGUUCAUAUCGACGGCGGUGUUUGGCACCUCGAUGUCGGCUCAUCACAUCCUGGGGCUGAAGUAGGUCCCAAGGGUAUGGCUGUUCGCCAUUUAAAGUGGUACGCGAGCUGGGUUUAGAACGUCGUGAGACAGUUCGGUCCCUAUCUGCCGUGGGCGCUGGAGAAUUGAGGGGGGCUGCUCCUAGUACGAGAGGACCGGAGUGGACGCAUCACUGGUGUUCGGGUUGUCAUGCCAAUGGCACUGCCCGGUAGCUAAAUGCGGAAGAGAUAAGUGCUGAAAGCAUCUAAGCACGAAACUUGCCCCGAGAUGAGUUCUCCCUGAGACUUUAAGUCUCCUGAAGGAACGUUGAAGACGACGACGUUGAUAGGCCGGGUGUGUAAGCGCAGCGAUGCGUUGAGCUAACCGGUACUAAUGAACCGUGAGGCUUAACCUU
RNAcentral lists this ribosomal RNA (2758 nucleotides) under Klebsiella pneumoniae. RNAcentral's name for it is "partial 23S ribosomal RNA". It matches the Rfam family "Bacterial large subunit ribosomal RNA". Lineage: Bacteria; Pseudomonadati; Pseudomonadota; Gammaproteobacteria; Enterobacterales; Enterobacteriaceae. The record is from RNAcentral.